GGGCCCGUAGCUCAGCUGGGAGAGCGCUGCGUUCGCAACGCAGAGGCCGUGGGUUCAAUCCCCAUCGGGUCCACCA
Molecule: transfer RNA, 76 nt
Filed under: Anaerotruncus colihominis
Lineage: Bacteria; Bacillati; Bacillota; Clostridia; Eubacteriales; Oscillospiraceae
Also listed under: 5 other names
Description: tRNA-Ala
Rfam family: tRNA
About the family: Transfer RNA (tRNA) molecules are approximately 80 nucleotides in length. Their secondary structure includes four short double-helical elements and three loops (D, anti-codon, and T loops).
Source: RNAcentral